This 92-nucleotide transfer RNA is filed under the name Laccaria bicolor S238N-H82. It matches the Rfam family "tRNA". Rfam says of the family: Transfer RNA (tRNA) molecules are approximately 80 nucleotides in length. Their secondary structure includes four short double-helical elements and three loops (D, anti-codon, and T loops). Lineage: Eukaryota; Fungi; Basidiomycota; Agaricomycetes; Agaricales; Hydnangiaceae. The record is from Rfam by way of RNAcentral.
GGUGCUAUAGUGUAGUGGUUAUCACUCGGGAUUUUGAUGUGCUGGGAAUAGUAAUCUUUCCCGAAACCCAGGUUCGAGCCCUGGUAGCACCU